UUCGGGUUGUAAACCUCUUUCAGCACAGACGAAGCGUGAGUGACGGUAUGUGCAGAAGAAGCACCGGCCAACUACGUGCCAGCAGCCGCGGUAAUACGUAGGGUGCGAGCGUUGUCCGGAAUUACUGGGCGUAAAGAGCUCGUAGGUGGUUUGUCGCGUUGUUCGUGAAAACUCACAGCUUAACUGUGGGCGUGCGGGCGAUACGGGCAGACUGGAGUACUGCAGGGGAGACUGGAAUUCCUGGUGUAGCGGUGGAAUGCGCAGAUAUCAGGAGGAACACCGGUGGCGAAGGCGGGUCUCUGGGCAGUAACUGACGCUGAGGAGCGAAAGCGUGGGGAGCGAACAGGAUUAGAUACCCUGGUAGUCCACGCCGUAAACGGUGGGUACUAGGUGUGGGUUUCCUUCCUUGGGAUCCGUGCCGUAGCUAACGCAUUAAGUACCCCGGCCUGGGGAGUACGGCCGCAAGGCUAAAACUCAAAGGAAUUGACGGGGGCCCGCACAAGCGGCGGAGCAUGUGGAUUAAUUCGAUGCAACGCGAAGAACCUUACCUGGGUUUGACAUGCACAGGACGCUGGUAGAGAUAUCAGUUC
RNAcentral lists this ribosomal RNA (590 nucleotides) under Mycobacterium sp. F13. RNAcentral describes it as "bacterial SSU rRNA". It matches the Rfam family "Bacterial small subunit ribosomal RNA", at positions 417 to 1015 of the family's 1533-position model. The record is from RNAcentral. Lineage: Bacteria; Bacillati; Actinomycetota; Actinomycetes; Mycobacteriales; Mycobacteriaceae.